Molecule: small nucleolar RNA, 135 nt
Organism: Mandrillus leucophaeus (drill)
Lineage: Eukaryota; Metazoa; Chordata; Mammalia; Primates; Cercopithecidae
Source: Ensembl
AUCCAUCUGUUUGGCAGACCUGGAGCAGUUAGUGUCUGCUGCUAAGGAUUCCAUUACAGAUGUGAGAAAACAAAAGUGUUCUUCUGCUUUCUGUCUGUCUCAGUGGCAACGAAGAUUGAAUGGGGGAUAUGACAG